AGGACGAACGCUGGCGGCGUGCUUAACACAUGCAAGUCGAACGGAAAGGCCCUUUCGGGGGUACUCGAGUGGCGAACGGGUGAGUAACACGUGGGUGAUCUGCCCUGCACUUCGGGAUAAGCUUGGGAAACUGGGUCUAAUACCGGAUAGGACUACGAAUCGCAUGGUUUGUGGUGGAAAGCUUUUGCGGUGUGGGAUGGGCCCGCGGCCUAUCAGCUUGUUGGUGGGGUGAUGGCCUACCAAGGCGACGACGGGUAGCCGGCCUGAGAGGGUGUCCGGCCACACUGGGACUGAGAUACGGCCCAGACUCCUACGGGAGGCAGCAGUGGGGAAUCUUGCGCAAUGGGCGAAAGCCUGACGCAGCGACGCCGCGUGAGGGAUGACGGCCUUCGGGUUGUAAACCUCUUUCGACCGGACGAAGCGAGAGUGACGGUACCGGUAGAAGAGCGACCGGCUAACUACGUGCCAGCAGCCGC
This 476-nucleotide ribosomal RNA is filed under the name uncultured bacterium. Its description in RNAcentral is "SSU rRNA". It matches the Rfam family "Bacterial small subunit ribosomal RNA", at positions 26 to 518 of the family's 1533-position model. The record is from RNAcentral.